Molecule: transfer RNA, 66 nt
Filed under: Cormobates leucophaea (white-throated treecreeper)
Lineage: Eukaryota; Metazoa; Chordata; Aves; Passeriformes; Climacteridae
Description: Cormobates leucophaeus (white-throated treecreeper) tRNA-Cys
Source: RNAcentral
GGCUCUGUAGUGAAGUUCAUGUUGAGUUGCAAGCUCAUCGAUACACAUAAACAUGUGUCUGGGCCU